Molecule: ribosomal RNA, 464 nt
Filed under: uncultured bacterium
Lineage: Bacteria
Description: partial 16S ribosomal RNA
Rfam family: Bacterial small subunit ribosomal RNA
Source: RNAcentral
CCUACGGGAGGCAGCAGUAGGGAAUUUUCGUCAAUGGGCGCAAGCCUGAACGAGCAAUGCCGCGUGAACGAGGAAGGUCUUCGGAUCGUAAAGUUCUGUUGAAGGGGAAGAAGAGCGGAGUGAGUAAAUGCUCUCGGAUUGAUAUUACCCUUCCAGGAAGCCACGGCUAACUACGUGCCAGCAGCCGCGGUAAUACGUAGGUGGCUAGCGUUAUCCGGAAUGAUUGGGGGUAAAGGGUGCGUAGGCGGCCUGUUAAGUCUGGGGUGAAAGGUACCGGCUCACCCGGGACGGGCUUUGGAAACUGGCGGGCUAGAGGGCAGGAGAGGGAGGUGGAACUCCAGGUGUAGCGGUGAAAUGCGUAGAUAUAUGGAAGAACACCAGUGGCGAAGGCGGCCGCCUGGCCUGUAACUGACGCUGAGGCGCGAAAGCGUGGGGAGCAAAUAGGAUUAGAUACCCCGGUAGUC